GAUGAAGAACGCAGCGAAAUGCGAUAAGUAAUGCGAAUUGCAGAAUUCAGUGAAUCAUCGAAUCUUUGAACGCACAUUGCGCCCGCUAGUAUUCUGGCGGGCAUGCCUGUCUGAGCGUCAUUUCAACCCUCGCCCCCGGCUUUUGCUGGGAGCGGUGUUGGGGAUCGGCCGCCCGUCACUGGGAGGCCGGCCCCGAAAUAGAGUGGCGACCACGCCGUGUGCUCCUCUGCGUAGUAGUAAAUCACCUCGCAGGCGGACAGCGGUGCGGCCUGCCGUAAAACCCCCAACUCUUUCUGUUUGACCUCAGAUCAGGUAGGAAUACCCGCUGAACUUAAGCAUAUCAAUAAGCGGAGGA
This 355-nucleotide unclassified non-coding RNA is filed under the name soil metagenome. RNAcentral's name for it is "partial contains 5.8S ribosomal RNA, internal transcribed spacer 2, and large subunit ribosomal RNA". The stretch from base 1 to 120 matches the Rfam family "5.8S ribosomal RNA", at positions 35 to 154 of the family's 154-position model. The record is from RNAcentral.